CGUGCAGGCGGUUCGGAAAGUUGGAUGUGAAAGCUCCUGGCUCAACUGGGAGAGGUCGUUCAAAACUACCGGACUAGAGGGCAGUAUAGGGAGAUGGAAUUCCCGGUGUAGUGGUGAAAUGCGUAGAUAUCGGGAGGAACACCAGUGGCGAAAGCGAUCUCCUGGACUGUCUCUGACGCUCAGACGCGAAAGCUAGGGUAGCAAACGG
This 208-nucleotide ribosomal RNA is filed under the name uncultured bacterium. Its description in RNAcentral is "partial 16S ribosomal RNA". It matches the Rfam family "Bacterial small subunit ribosomal RNA", at positions 568 to 775 of the family's 1533-position model. The record is from RNAcentral.